RNAcentral lists this ribosomal RNA (2382 nucleotides) under Triticum aestivum (bread wheat). Its description in RNAcentral is "partial small subunit ribosomal RNA". Lineage: Eukaryota; Viridiplantae; Streptophyta; Magnoliopsida; Poales; Poaceae. The record is from RNAcentral.
AUGGGGUGCGCGCAGUCGCGGAUCGAGAACGAGGAGGCGGUGGCGCGAUGCAAGGAGCGCCGCCAGUACAUGAAGGCGGCCGUGGCGGCGCGCAACGCCUUCGCCGCCGCGCACUCCGCCUACGCCUUCUCGCUGCGGGACACGGGCGCCGCGCUCUCCGAGUUCGCGCACGGGGAGGGGGUGCCGCCGCCGCCGCCCCCGGCCGCCGCGGAGCCGUCCAAGGCCGCCAGGCUCUCGGCCGGCGGGACCGGCCCGGCCGCCCCGGGGGCCGCGGCCGCGACUUCCGCGGACGCGGCGGUGGAGGAGGCAAUGCCGCCGCCGCCGCCCCUCGACUCGCUGCCCCCGCCACCGCCGCCGCUGCCGGUGUUCUCGCCCUCCCCGGCGAAGAUCCACCGCUCCAUGAGCAUGCCCAUGGCGCCCAAGGCCGUCGCGAGGGGGAGGGGCCCCGCCAUGCUCCACAGCGACUCCAUUAGGGAGGAGGACGAUGAGGCGGACAUGGAGGAGGAGGAAGACGAGGAGGACGAUGCCCGUCUCGAUGACCGCCGCCGGAGGCUGCGCCAUCGCCAGCAGGUGCCGCCCGUCUCGCCGCCGCCUCCGGAGACGCCGGUGACCCCCCAGCCACCACCGCCGCCUCCCCCUCCCCCGCCCCCGCCCCCGAUUGACCCCAAGACCGGGGUUGACACGUGGGAUUACUUCUUCUCCAUGGAAGAGGGAAUGGCGUCUAUUGCCACCGAGGACGAGGAGAUCGUCCCGGAGCCGGAGGACGAGAAGUACGUUCCUGCCUCGCCACCGCGUCCUCCGUCCUCGCCCCCUCCCCAAGCGGUUGUGCCGCCACGGGAGGAGUAUGAGGAGGAGCCGCGCACACCGGAGAUGGUCACACCGCCUCCGUCGCUUCCGCCAAAGGCUCCUGGACAGUCCAAGAAGAAGAAGGGCAAGGGCAAGGGGAAGGGGAAGAAUAAGUCUGCGCACCACCAGCACACUGAGUCCGCGCCGCCGGUCACGGUGGUCGGCGGCUGGGGGAAGGCGGGGAAGGUUGUCCCCGCCGAGGUGCCACGCGUAGACCUGCUGCAGGUGCUUGCGGAGAUCGACGACAGGUUCUUGAAGGCGUCGGAGAGCGCCGGGGAGGUUUCCAAGGCGCUGGAGGCGAACAGGAUGCACUACCAUUCCAAUUUCGCCGACACUAGAGGGCAUAUUGAUCAUUCUGCUAGAGUUAUGAAAAUAAUAACAUGGAAUAGAUCCUUCAGAAGCAUGCAAAAUGGUGAUGAUGGGAAGGAUGAAUUUGAAAAUGAUGAAGAGGAGACUCUGGCAACUGUCAUAGACAAAAUUUUAGCCUGGGAGAAAAAGCUGUAUGACGAAGUGAAGGCUGGUGAGAUUAUGAAGCUUGAGUAUCAGCGGAAGGUUGCUUUGUUAAAUAGACAAAAGAGAAAUAAUGCUGCUGUUGAGGUUCUGGAGAAAACUAAAGCUGCUGUAACCCAUUUGCAUACAAGAUACAUAGUUGAUAUGCAAUCAAUGGAUUCAACUGUCUCAGAGAUUCAGCAUCUCCGUGAUAAUCAACUUUAUCCAAAACUGCUGGAUCUUGCUGAUAGGCUGGCAAAAAUGUGGGAAGAUAUGCACAUGAAUCAUGCGAACCAGCUGAAAACUGUGUUGGAUCUCAAGUCAGUUGACAUUUCUGAUUCCAGCAUCGAAACAAGUGCGCAUCACCACAGCCACACGCGUCAGCUGCAUGAUAUUGUAGACAAGUGGAACACAAACUUUAGUGAUCUCAUGAGCUAUCAGAAGGAGUACAUAAAUGCUCUCUACAGCUGGUUGAAAUUGAACCUUAUACCUAUAGAGAGCAGCUUAAAGGAGAAAGUAGCAUCGCCACCAAGGGUGCAGCAACCUCCUGUGAAGGCUCUCCUCCAAGCAUGGAAUGAGCAACUAGCCAAGCUGCCCGAUGACCUUGCCAGGCAUGCCAUCGUUAGCUUCCGGGCGGUCCUGGAAACCAUACUAGGUGUUCAAGACGAGGAGUUGAAGAAAAAGGAGGCCUGUGAACAAAUCCACAAGGAAUACGUGCGCAAGGCUCGGGCGUUUGAGGAGUGGUAUCACAAACAUGGACAGCGCAGGACAUUUGAUGACCCGGAGAGCGGUGAGGGGACAAGCCAGAAGGAUGCGAUCUCGGAGAAGAGAUUUGCCGUGGAAAGCUUGAAAAGCAAGCUGGAUAACGAGGUCGAGGCCCAUAACAAGCUGUCGAAGCAAGUUCGGGAGAAAUCCCUUUCGAUCCUGAGGGCGCACCUGCCGGAGCUGUUCCGUGCCCUGACCGACUUCUCCCAUGCUACUGCCGAAAUGCACUCGAAGCUGAGACUGAAUGCACUCAUGCAGGAUCAAGGUAGUGGUAACAACUAG